RNAcentral lists this long non-coding RNA (1322 nucleotides) under Lonchura striata (white-rumped munia). RNAcentral's name for it is "domestica (Bengalese finch) lncRNA (ENSLSDG00000013112.1)". Lineage: Eukaryota; Metazoa; Chordata; Aves; Passeriformes; Estrildidae. The record is from RNAcentral.
CCCUGUCGCAGGCACAGGUGCGGGAGAGCAGCCUGGAGCUGCUGAAGGGCUACCUGGGGGACAUCGUCGAUGCCAUCGUGGGCUCGGCGGACCAGUGUCCCCUCCCCAUGAGGGUGGCCUUCAAGCAGCUCCGCAGGCGGGUGGAGGAGCGAUUCCCCUUGGCACAGCACGAGGUGGGGCCCACGGCAGGGCUGGGGGUCUGCGCAGCUCCAGGACCACCAGCCCAAGCUCUGAGCUGCCCCUGACCCCAUCCCUGCCCCUGUCCCCAUCCAGGAGGUCCGGUACUUCUCCAUCAGUGGGUUCCUCUUCCUUCGCUUCUUCGCUCCCGCUGUCCUCACCCCGAAGCUCUUCGGGCUCUGGGAGCAGCACGCGGAGCCCUGCACCGGCCGCACGCUCCUGCUGCUCGCCAAGGCUCUGCAGACCAUCGGGAACCUGGGGCUGCAGCUGGGGCAGGGCAAGGAGCCAUGGAUGGCCCCGCUGAACGCCGUCCUCCUGCCCAGUGUCACCCGUGUCCGGGCCUUCCUGGACGCCCUGGUGACCGUGGUGGACGAGGUGCCAGUGCCACUGGGACACUCCCAGCCCUCGGCCACCAUCAAGGAGGGUCCCCUGCACACCUGCCCAGAGGGGAGGGUGGCACUGCUGCCCCGCUUCGCCUUCAAGAAGAGGCACUUCAGGCUCAGCACCCAGGCCCUGGCCCAUGCCAAGGUGCCCCAGGGGCAGGUGCUCGGCUCCAUCCCAGUGGAGCAGAUCCGGGCAGUGGAGCAGGUGGACAAGGGCACCUUCCAGCACCCCCACGUCCUGCAGGUGCUGGCACAGGACAGCACCGGGCAGCUCCACACCACCUACCUCCAGUGCAAGGUGGGUGACCCCACCCUGCCCCAGCACCCCAAAAACCCCAGGAACCCCCCACUAUAGCACCCUGGGAGCGCCCCCCUCCCCAGCACCAGCCACGGGACAAUGGGAACGGUCCCAAAUCCAGCUGUACCCAGGCACCCUCUGUACUGGGAGCACUGAGAGUACUGAGGUCAAGGGGCUAACUGGGUGUACCGGGGAAGUUGGGGUGUCCUACCCUGGCAGUUUUGGGGUCACUGGGGUAUCCUGCAGCCCCAUCUCCCCUCACUUCCUACUGCGCAGCUUUGCCACCAAACUGUCACUCCUGCUCCCCAGCCCUGGUGCCCACCCCUUCCUCCUCCCUCCUCCUCCUCCUCCCCGGCACCGGCAGUGCCCUGGGGGGUGUCCCUGUCCCUGGUGUCCCCGCAGAGCGCCCCGGAGCUGUGGCAGUGGCUGUGGGCGCUGCGCCGGGCCACCAGCGCCAACCGCGA